RNAcentral lists this ribosomal RNA (462 nucleotides) under uncultured Bacillota bacterium. RNAcentral's name for it is "bacterial SSU rRNA". It matches the Rfam family "Bacterial small subunit ribosomal RNA", at positions 8 to 490 of the family's 1533-position model. The record is from RNAcentral. Lineage: Bacteria; Bacillati; Bacillota.
AGAGUUGAUCAUGGCUCAGGACGAACGCUGGCGGCGCGCUAACACAUGCAAGUCGAGCGGAGAUAUUAGUAAUAAUAUCUUAGCGGCGGACGGGUGAGUAACGCGUGGGCAACCUACCUUAAAGAGGGGAAUAACUUAGGGAAACUUAAGAUAAUACCGCAUAACACUAUAGUAGAGCAUUCUACAGUAGUCAAAGGAGUAAUCCGCUUUAAGAUGGGCCCGCGUCUGAUUAGCUAGUUGGUGGGGUAAUGGCCUACCAAGGCAGCGAUCAGUAGCCGAACUGAGAGGUUGAUCGGCCACAUUGGGACUGAGACACGGCCCAGACUCCUACGGGAGGCAGCAGUGGGGAAUAUUGCGCAAUGGGGGAAACCCUGACGCAGCGACGCCGCGUGGAGGAAGAAGGUCUUUGGAUUGUAAACUCUUGUCGACAGGGAAGAUAAAAGACGGUACCUGUGGAGGAAG